UACGGAGGGGGCCAGCGUUGUUCGGAAUCAUUGGGCGUAAAGGGCGCGUAGGCGGCCACGUAAGUCGGUUGUGAAAUCCCUCGGCUCAACCGAGGAACUGCGACUGAUACUGCGUGGCUUGAGUCCCGGAGAGGGUAGCGGAAUUCCCAGUGUAGCGGUGAAAUGCGUAGAUAUUGGGAGGAACAUCGGUGGCGAAGGCGGCUACCUGGACGGGUACUGACGCUGAGGCGCGAAAGCUAGGGGAGCAAACAGGAUUAGAAACCCUCGUAGUCC
RNAcentral lists this ribosomal RNA (273 nucleotides) under uncultured bacterium. RNAcentral describes it as "partial 16S ribosomal RNA". It matches the Rfam family "Bacterial small subunit ribosomal RNA", at positions 524 to 796 of the family's 1533-position model. The record is from RNAcentral.